CAGGGAGACAACAAAAUGUUUAAUAUUAUUAUUUUGUCACCUUAGGUCGAUCGGUAUCUCACGUUUUUAAUUUAUUAAGAAUUUCAUUUCCUAAGUUUUUCUAGGUCACACCCAUUAUUUUUCCUGGGCCAUUAGCUCAGGUGGUUAGAGCGCACCCCUGAUAAGGGUGAGGUCCCUGGUUCAAGUCCAGGAUGGCCCAUAUCUCUAUGUUGGGGGUAUAGCUCAGUUGGUAGAGCGCCUGCUUUGCAAGCAGGAUGUCAGCGGUUCGAGUCCGCUUACCUCCACUGAUCACCACCUCUUCCAUAACCGGUAGAAAGGAAAUUUUUUGAGUUGUGAUCAAAUACUGAAAGAAUCUAGCUUCCUAAUGAAAUCAUUAAGAUGCUGGACUCAUUGAAUUAAUUUCAUUGUUUUCAGAGAACCUUGACAACUGCAUAGAUUAUUUUUAAAGACAAUAAGCAUCUUUAAUGAUGCAGAUUUAUUAUUUGUGCAAAUGCAUUAAUAACAAUUCUAUUAAGCUGAUGCUUCAAUAUUUGAAGUUAUUG
This 542-nucleotide transfer RNA is filed under the name uncultured Prochlorococcus sp. RNAcentral describes it as "16S-23S ribosomal RNA intergenic spacer". The stretch from base 212 to 284 matches the Rfam family "tRNA". The record is from RNAcentral. Lineage: Bacteria; Bacillati; Cyanobacteriota; Cyanophyceae; Synechococcales; Prochlorococcaceae.